Molecule: ribosomal RNA, 253 nt
Filed under: uncultured bacterium
Lineage: Bacteria
Description: partial 16S ribosomal RNA
Rfam family: Bacterial small subunit ribosomal RNA
Source: RNAcentral
UACGUAGGGUGCGAGCGUUGUCCGGAAUUACUGGGCGUAAAGGGCUCGUAGGCGGCCAACUAAGUCAGACGUGAAAUCCCUCGGCUUAACCGGGGAACUGCGUCUGAUACUGGAUGGCUUGAGGUUGGGAGAGGGAUGCGGAAUUCCAGGUGUAGCGGUGAAAUGCGUAGAUAUCUGGAGGAACACCGGUGGCGAAGGCGGCAUCCUGGACCAAUUCUGACGCUGAGGAGCGAAAGCCAGGGGAGCAAACGGG